This 910-nucleotide ribosomal RNA is filed under the name Hymenoscyphus scutula. RNAcentral's name for it is "partial large subunit ribosomal RNA". It matches the Rfam family "Eukaryotic large subunit ribosomal RNA", at positions 50 to 978 of the family's 3401-position model. Lineage: Eukaryota; Fungi; Ascomycota; Leotiomycetes; Helotiales; Helotiaceae. The record is from RNAcentral.
ACGGGGGUAGACAACAGGGAUUACCUCAGUAACGGCGAGUGAAGCGGUAACAGCUCAAAUUUGAAAUCUGGCCCCCUCCGGGGCCCGAGUUGUAAUUUGUAGAAGAUGCUUCGGGUGCGGCUCUGGUCUAAGUUCCUUGGAACAGGACGUCAUAGAGGGUGAGAAUCCCGUACGUGACCGGUGGCCUGCGCCCGUGUGAAGCUCUUUCGACGAGUCGAGUUGUUUGGGAAUGCAGCUCUAAAUGGGUGGUAAAUUUCAUCUAAAGCUAAAUAUUGGCCAGAGACCGAUAGCGCACAAGUAGAGUGAUCGAAAGAUGAAAAGCACUUUGGAAAGAGAGUUAAACAGUACGUGAAAUUGUUGAAAGGGAAGCGCUUGCAACCAGACUCGCGCCCCGUCGAUCAUCCGGUGUUCUCACCGGUGCACUCGGCGGGGCUCGGGCCAGCAUCAGUUUGGGUGGUGGGAUAAAGGCCUUGGGAACGUAGCUUCUUUCGGGGAGUGUUAUAGCCCUCGGUGCAAUGCCGCCUACCCGGACUGAGGACCGCGCUUCGGCUAGGAUGCUGGCGUAAUGGUUGUAAGCGACCCGUCUUGAAACACGGACCAAGGAGUCUAACACCUAUGCGAGUGUUUGGGUGUCAAACCCAUACGCGUAAUGAAAGUGAACGGAGGUGAGAACCCGUUAGGGUGCAUCAUCGACCGAUCCUGAUGUCUUCGGAUGGAUUUGAGUAAGAGCAUAGUUGUUGGGACCCGAAAGAUGGUGAACUAUGCCUAAAUAGGGUGAAGCCAGAGGAAACUCUGGUGGAGGCUCGCAGCGGUUCUGACGUGCAAAUCGAUCGUCAAAUUUGGGUAUAGGGGCGAAAGACUAAUCGAACCAUCUAGUAGCUGGUUCCUGCCGAAUCCUCCCCCUCAGGGA